UACGUGGGAAUUCAACUUUUUGCAUCCCAA
RNAcentral lists this non-coding RNA (30 nucleotides) under Rattus norvegicus (Norway rat). Lineage: Eukaryota; Metazoa; Chordata; Mammalia; Rodentia; Muridae. The record is from RNAcentral.